CUCAAUUGUUCUCAUCACUCUUUACAUUGUGACUGCUUAGGCUUUGGAGUCCGCAAGGCUGCCUUUGAAUCUCAUCUCUUAUAUAGAAGCUGUGUGAUUCGAGCUGAGCUUGAUGGAGGCUCCACUCAAGAUAGGUGUGGCCAAAAGGGCAGAGCCCCCAUUCCUGUUAGUUUCCAAUCAAGGGACACAGUAUGUAACCAGGAAGGAGAGGCCGAUGACGUUCCUGAUCUCCUCCAACUGGAAGUUACAGAGGCUGAGUUCCUGGGUGAAGAUUCCAUGCCAGGGGAGGCAAGCUGAGAAGGCCAUAGGCUGCUACUACCCAGGUCUCUUGUUUUUGAUACUGAAAUGCAGCCAAUUGGAACCAUUGGUUGCUUAGGCCCUGUGAUUGCACCUGACCUUGCUUCUCAUCUCAAGUAGAGAAACCGACCUCCAACCAU
This is a long non-coding RNA of Pteropus alecto (black flying fox), 437 nucleotides long. RefSeq lists it as uncharacterized. The record is from RefSeq and is a predicted model, not a curated record. Lineage: Eukaryota; Metazoa; Chordata; Mammalia; Chiroptera; Pteropodidae. The transcript is spliced from 3 exons.